UGAAUAUUAUUAUAGAUAGAGAUAAACUGUAAACAGCAAUAAUGUUCAGCAAAGUAAGAACUAAAAAUAAGUCAGUGUGACCAAAAUAGUCAAUUGACCCCCUAAGGAGUUAUUGCCUUCAUAGUCAAUUUUUAACAAUUUUCUUAAAAUUUGAAGAUUUUCAAUAAUAUUUUCCACAGAAAGUACUGUUAUAGAUAGAGAUAAUUGUAAGCAGCAAGAAUGUUUAGUAAAGUAAGAUCUACAAACACAUCACCAUCACCAAAACACAAUUUUGUCAUGAAUCCAUCUGUGUCCAUUGUUUAAUAUUCACAUAGAC
This 316-nucleotide long non-coding RNA is filed under the name Mytilus galloprovincialis (Mediterranean mussel). Lineage: Eukaryota; Metazoa; Mollusca; Bivalvia; Mytilida; Mytilidae. The record is from RNAcentral.